UACGUAGGGGGCAAGCGUUGUCCGGAAUCAUUGGGCGUAAAGAGCGUGUAGGCGGCUCGAUAAGUCUGCUGUGAAAGUCCAGGGCUCAACCCUGGAAGGCCGGUGGAAACUGUCGGGCUAGAGUCCGGAAGAGGCGAGUGGAAUUCCUGGUGUAGCGGUGAAAUGCGCAGAUAUCAGGAGGAACACCAAUGGCGAAGGCAGCUCGCUGGGACGGUACUGACGCUGAGACGCGAAAGCGUGGGGAGCAAACAGG
RNAcentral lists this ribosomal RNA (253 nucleotides) under uncultured bacterium. RNAcentral's name for it is "partial 16S ribosomal RNA". It matches the Rfam family "Bacterial small subunit ribosomal RNA", at positions 524 to 776 of the family's 1533-position model. The record is from RNAcentral.